GGUUAAGCGACUAAGCGUACACGGUGGAUGCCCUGGCAGUCAGAGGCGAUGAAGGACGUGCUAAUCUGCGAUAAGCGUCGGUAAGGUGAUAUGAACCGUUAUAACCGGCGAUUUCCGAAUGGGGAAACCCAGUGUGAUUCGUCACACUAUCAUUAACUGAAUCCAUAGGUUAAUGAGGCGAACCGGGGGAACUGAAACAUCUAAGUACCCCGAGGAAAAGAAAUCAACCGAGAUUCCCCCAGUAGCGGCGAGCGAACGGGGAGCAGCCCAGAGCCUGAAUCAGUGUGUGUGUUAGUGGAAGCGUCUGGAAAGGCGCGCGAUACAGGGUGACAGCCCCGUACACAAAAAUGCACAUACUGUGAGCUCGAUGAGUAGGGCGGGACACGUGGUAUCCUGUCUGAAUAUGGGGGGACCAUCCUCCAAGGCUAAAUACUCCUGACUGACCGAUAGUGAACCAGUACCGUGAGGGAAAGGCGAAAAGAACCCCGGCGAGGGGAGUGAAAAAGAACCUGAAACCGUGUACGUACAAGCAGUGGGAGCACAGAGCAAUCUGUGUGACUGCGUACCUUUUGUAUAAUGGGUCAGCGACUUAUAUUCUGUAGCAAGGUUAACCGAAUAGGGGAGCCGAAGGGAAACCGAGUCUUAACUGGGCGUUAAGUUGCAGGGUAUAGACCCGAAACCCGGUGAUCUAGCCAUGGGCAGGUUGAAGGUUGGGUAACACUAACUGGAGGACCGAACCGACUAAUGUUGAAAAAUUAGCGGAUGACUUGUGGCUGGGGGUGAAAGGCCAAUCAAACCGGGAGAUAGCUGGUUCUCCCCGAAAGCUAUUUAGGUAGCGCCUCGUGAAUUCAUCUCCGGGGGUAGAGCACUGUUUCGGCAAGGGGGUCAUCCCGACUUACCAACCCGAUGCAAACUGCGAAUACCGGAGAAUGUUAUCACGGGAGACACACGGCGGGUGCUAACGUCCGUCGUGAAGAGGGAAACAACCCAGACCGCCAGCUAAGGUCCCAAAGUCAUGGUUAAGUGGGAAACGAUGUGGGAAGGCCCAGACAGCCAGGAUGUUGGCUUAGAAGCAGCCAUCAUUUAAAGAAAGCGUAAUAGCUCACUGGUCGAGUCGGCCUGCGCGGAAGAUGUAACGGGGCUAAACCAUGCACCGAAGCUGCGGCAGCGACGCUUAUGCGUUGUUGGGUAGGGGAGCGUUCUGUAAGCCUGCGAAGGUGUGCUGUGAGGCAUGCUGGAGGUAUCAGAAGUGCGAAUGCUGACAUAAGUAACGAUAAAGCGGGUGAAAAGCCCGCUCGCCGGAAGACCAAGGGUUCCUGUCCAACGUUAAUCGGGGCAGGGUGAGUCGACCCCUAAGGCGAGGCCGAAAGGCGUAGUCGAUGGGAAACAGGUUAAUAUUCCUGUACUUGGUGUUACUGCGAAGGGGGGACGGAGAAGGCUAUGUUGGCCGGGCGACGGUUGUCCCGGUUUAAGCGUGUAGGCUGGUUUUCCAGGCAAAUCCGGAAAAUCAAGGCUGAGGCGUGAUGACGAGGCACUACGGUGCUGAAGCAACAAAUGCCCUGCUUCCAGGAAAAGCCUCUAAGCAUCAGGUAACAUCAAAUCGUACCCCAAACCGACACAGGUGGUCAGGUAGAGAAUACCAAGGCGCUUGAGAGAACUCGGGUGAAGGAACUAGGCAAAAUGGUGCCGUAACUUCGGGAGAAGGCACGCUGAUAUGUAGGUGAAGUCCCUCGCGGAUGGAGCUGAAAUCAGUCGAAGAUACCAGCUGGCUGCAACUGUUUAUUAAAAACACAGCACUGUGCAAACACGAAAGUGGACGUAUACGGUGUGACGCCUGCCCGGUGCCGGAAGGUUAAUUGAUGGGGUCAGCGCAAGCGAAGCUCUUGAUCGAAGCCCCGGUAAACGGCGGCCGUAACUAUAACGGUCCUAAGGUAGCGAAAUUCCUUGUCGGGUAAGUUCCGACCUGCACGAAUGGCGUAAUGAUGGCCAGGCUGUCUCCACCCGAGACUCAGUGAAAUUGAACUCGCUGUGAAGAUGCAGUGUACCCGCGGCAAGACGGAAAGACCCCGUGAACCUUUACUAUAGCUUGACACUGAACAUUGAGCCUUGAUGUGUAGGAUAGGUGGGAGGCUUAGAAGUGUGGACGCCAGUCUGCAUGGAGCCGACCUUGAAAUACCACCCUUUAAUGUUUGAUGUUCUAACGUUGACCCGUAAUCCGGGUUGCGGACAGUGUCUGGUGGGUAGUUUGACUGGGGCGGUCUCCUCCUAAAGAGUAACGGAGGAGCACGAAGGUUGGCUAAUCCUGGUCGGACAUCAGGAGGUUAGUGCAAUGGCAUAAGCCAGCUUGACUGCGAGCGUGACGGCGCGAGCAGGUGCGAAAGCAGGUCAUAGUGAUCCGGUGGUUCUGAAUGGAAGGGCCAUCGCUCAACGGAUAAAAGGUACUCCGGGGAUAACAGGCUGAUACCGCCCAAGAGUUCAUAUCGACGGCGGUGUUUGGCACCUCGAUGUCGGCUCAUCACAUCCUGGGGCUGAAGUAGGUCCCAAGGGUAUGGCUGUUCGCCAUUUAAAGUGGUACGCGAGCUGGGUUUAGAACGUCGUGAGACAGUUCGGUCCCUAUCUGCCGUGGGCGCUGGAGAACUGAGGGGGGCUGCUCCUAGUACGAGAGGACCGGAGUGGACGCAUCACUGGUGUUCGGGUUGUCAUGCCAAUGGCACUGCCCGGUAGCUAAAUGCGGAAGAGAUAAGUGCUGAAAGCAUCUAAGCACGAAACUUGCCCCGAGAUGAGUUCUCCCUGACUCCUUGAGAGUCCUGAAGGAACGUUGAAGACGACGACGUUGAUAGGCCGGGUGUGUAAGCGCAGCGAUGCGUUGAGCUAACCGGUACUAAUGAACCGUGAGGCUUAACCUU
Molecule: ribosomal RNA, 2906 nt
Filed under: Escherichia coli
Lineage: Bacteria; Pseudomonadati; Pseudomonadota; Gammaproteobacteria; Enterobacterales; Enterobacteriaceae
Description: 23S ribosomal RNA
Rfam family: Bacterial large subunit ribosomal RNA
Source: RNAcentral